AGUGAACGCUGGCGGCAUGCCUAACACAUGCAAGUCGAACGGCAGCACAGUAAGAUCUCGCUCUUACGGUUGGCGAGUGGCGGGCGGGUGAGGCGUACAUCGCCUUCUUCUUUUUCUUGGGUGAUAUCGUAGGGACACUGACGCUAACACCGCAUACUUUCUACGGGUGAGAGCAGAAGAUAUUCGCACUCUGCGCGUCUGUUUUAGCCGGUGCCGCAUUAGCUAGUUGGUGAGGUAAAGGCCCACCAAGGCGACGAUACGUAGCCGGUCUGAGAGGAUGAUCGGCCACACUGGAACUGAGACACGGUCCAGACUCCUACGGGAGGCAGCAGUAGGGAAUAUUCGGCAAUGGGCGCAAGCCUGACGGAGCAACGCCGCGUGAGUGAAGAAGGCCUUCGGGUCGUAAAGCUCUUUUAUUAGGGAAGAACAGCAGCAGGUGUAUCCCCGGCUAUUCUGACGGUACCCAAAGAGAAAGCAACGGCUAACUUCGUG
RNAcentral lists this ribosomal RNA (492 nucleotides) under uncultured bacterium. RNAcentral describes it as "partial 16S ribosomal RNA". It matches the Rfam family "Bacterial small subunit ribosomal RNA", at positions 29 to 507 of the family's 1533-position model. The record is from RNAcentral.